Molecule: long non-coding RNA, 21739 nt
Filed under: Sorghum bicolor (sorghum)
Lineage: Eukaryota; Viridiplantae; Streptophyta; Magnoliopsida; Poales; Poaceae
Description: long non-coding RNA (SBIC_LNC001689)
Source: RNAcentral
ACAAGGGAGAGGUGCUGGGGCAUGGUUGGGCCUAUGUGCACCCUCUGGUGACCACGGCUUGCUGCGAGAAGGCCUGAGGUGGCAUGGCCACGGUGAGGGGCACGGCGGAGCACUCGCGAUGCACGGAGAAGCGGUGGCAACGUCGCGAGAGAGCGGCACCAAGGCACCCUUGCAGCUUAACCAGUGCGUAGCGAUGCCGCGAAGCUGCGAGAGAAGCAAAAAGGUGGCUGGAAGGGAACUGGGGCGAGCUUGAGCGGCGGGCGGGGCUUGCCGACGCUGAGCAAGAUGAGCAGGGGAAGAAAUAGGAAGCAAGCAGGGCGCUGUCGUCCGCUUCGGAUGAGGAUGGCGUGGAAUAGGCAAGGGCAAACAGGCGCACAGCUGCGUGGAGGGCAUGUCGGACGCCAGCGCGUCCACCACGGCGCUGGAGUGCGAUGCUGGCCGGUGGCAAAAGGUGGAGCUAGUGUAGCUCGUCCUAAUCCCUUCCCCCUCAUUUUCCAAAUUAUUCCCAAAAUUUGAAUAGCACUCAAAUUUCUGCCAAAACAAUGGUUGUUAAAAAUUUUGAACUCUACAAAUCAUAUUUAAUGACCCAAAGCAAAUUUUGAAUAGAGAGGGACGAAUUUGAGUCAAACAGUUUGAAAUUCAAAAAUUCAAUUUGGGGACAAAACUGGUUUGAAUUGGGGCAGAAUAGAAAUUCUAAAAUUACUUUCGAUUUUGUAUUGAAACUUCAAAAACUCAAAACACCAAAGUUGUACACCUUGACAAGAUCUACAACUUUGCUUUUGAACUCAUCCCCAAAUUUUGCUUAGUUUUUAAGUUACACAAAAGGAGGUAAAAGCUGGGGUUCAAAUUAGGGGUUUUUUCUUAGCUGCCUCCCUACAACUCUCCUUAACUAGGGAUUAAACAACCAUCAUAAGCAUCACUUCACUAGAUAAACACACUUUAAUUCCCUAAGCACAAUCAACCAAAAUAAACUUAUUUUAAGUUGAUGCAUAAUAAUGUGCUUAACAAAUAUGCUGUUGGCGUCUAGACUCGUGGUCUAGGCAAUAACAAGUAUGAGUCUGCGUGACUGACCAAACUUGGAUGAUGAUGCAAGUGAGACACAGAGGGUUUAUACUGGUUCGGGCCAAGAAUGUCCUACGUCCAGUGCGAUCGGAGGUUCUGUAUAACCUUGCACCCAAAGGUGCUUGUAGUAGGGGGUACAAGCAGGUUGCGAGAGAGGGCUAAGUCCCAGGUCUCGGCUUGGUGGUGGACAGAGUGCGGGUUGCUGCUCUGGGAAAGAGUGUUGUGUGCGUGAACCUUCUGGCCUCUGCCUUUAGUAGUGAGCCCUGGCUCCCCUUUUAUAGCCUCAAGGGGAGGACAGGUAUUUACAUGAGUAGAUUUCUUCUGUUGAAGGGUGAAACCACAGUCCCGACCCUAUUGAAGCUGGUCCAUCUCGUCCUUGGGGGAUGGUUGACAGUAUGGCUGCUCCUGUAGAGGGUUACCGAGCCCUGUAGGGGUCGCGGGGGUCGGAUCGCCGGCACUGCUGCACAUGCUGUCAAUAGUGGGAAAUGACCUCAAAUAGUGGUGCUGAUUAACCUCCCCCAUUCCCUUUCUACUGUGAGGCGGUAUGCCACAGUGAAAGAGGUAAGGGUGCAUAGUGACAGAGGUAAGGCCACAGUGACCAGGGUGGUUGGAACAGUCGUCGCCUUGCCCUGCCGCGGUAUGGGAGUUAUCGCGUCUGUCAUGUCGUGGGUACGGGCGCCGUGCGGUGGAAGUCUUGCCGCCCAGGCGGAGUGGGGUCCGGCGCCCGAGCCUGGACGGGGUCGGGCGAGUCGGAACUUGCGUCCGAGACCCUGGGGGGUCAGGCGAGUCGGAGCUCGCGUCCGAGGCCCUGAGGGGUCGGGCGAGUCGGAACUCGCGUCCGAGGCCCUGAGGGGUCGGGCGAGUCGGAACUCGCGGCCGAGGCCCUGAGGGGUCGGGUGAGUUGAAUGAACUGGGGCCCGUACCCUGAUGAUUGUGGUUAGUAUGUUUUUUUGCGUUUUUUAUUGCUCUGAUUUGGUUAUCCCUUAUUAUGGUACCCAACAGUAGCCCCCGAGCCUCUGAAGGGGUGUGGUCACCUCUUUAGAGGUUUUGUCCCCAGCGACUGUAGUUGACUAGGAGCCUUUUACUUUUCUCCGGGGGGUGCGCGCGAGCGCACCCACCGGGUGUAGCCCCCGAGCCUUUUAGAGGAAUGGCGUUAUUCCUUCAAAGGCUUUCACCCCUUGACAGCUAUAGUCCGGAGUGUUUUAAGGGAUAGGUUGCGUGUUCUUUACACGUAGUGCCUGUUCCCAUAGUGCGAGGAAGCCCCUGAGCCCUUUCCCCGCAAGGGUCGAUCAGGUUCUUUCUCGUCUUGUAAUUACGUCCCUCAUUCUUCCUUUCGCUCGGAGGAGGGGUGGGUCGUGCCGUACUACCCUCGAUGGGCGAGUGACGAUGCUUCCCGAGAGCUGCAGGCGGGUAGAUCCAAGUGGAUGUCCGAGUCCCGUUCGAUAGGGGUCGGCUAGUGGCCUUAUGGGCACAUCUCAAAAAGUACCCGGGGGCAGUCACGGUGGAUGUCGGAACCGUUCGUUAGGUUCCGAGGGCUCGAUGCCUCCCUCGAUGGGAUCCCACUCAUGUGACACCCGCAUGGGUCUCGGAUAUGACUUGUAAGAUGCGCCGACUCCCUGUUGGGCUCGAACCUUGGCCUCUAUUGUGCUCAUCUUCAGUCGUCCCUCGCUCAGUCAUCCUGAGGCGACUGUUCGAACCUGUGUCGCAGGUCAGUCUCGCAACCUCUGGAACGUAGGUGGCCAUGGCCUGGGGAUUUUGGGCCUCGAAAGGCUUUUUUCAGACUUGUUUCGUAGUGUUGGGGGUCGGGCGAGACGAAAUCUGCGCCCGACGGGAAACCGCCUUGCACCUUUAGCUCGGGGUCUUGAUGGGGUCGGGCUAGACGGAAUCUUGCGCCCGACGGAGGCCUCCCUGUGACGCUUGGUCCGCGGGGGGGUCGGGCGCCACGUCCCCUGGAAGGAACCGUCCUGACAUAACUUCUCAGGGCGCUCCUUUUGAGGCGCGGCGCGUGGGGACUCGAAACGGCCGUGCCGUCUCACCCCGGCUGGAUGGGACGUUUCGCCUGCGAAAUUAAUGCGCGCGUGCGGCGGGCGCGGGAAUCGGAGGGAGUUGGCGCUUCGAGUUUUUCACCUGAGUGGGCGACGGUUGCUCUCUCUCCCGCUUGGCCUUCCUCGCAGGGGCGUGGUCGUGGUUUGCCCCUUCUAUAAAAGCGACUACUGAGGGCUUGAUUUCUUUCCUCUCGCUCCUGCGCCACAAAGCCCCUGCUCUUUCUUCCGCCGCCAUCUCCUCCACUUCCGCCGCGCAGACACUCCUCCUCCUCCCAAAACCAUGGCCGGCGUCGAGGCGUGGCCGCCCAGCAAUGUGACCAAGUCCGCGCUGGAGGCGCGCGUGAAGGCCGGGAUUCUCCGUCCUCUCAAGGACGUCGGGUUCCCGGAGUGGAUCGCUCCCUCGGCGAACGACAGGGAGCCAAACCCGCCGCCGGGCUAUGUGGUCUGCUUCCUGUCGUUCUUAGACCGGGGGUUCGGGGUUCCGGCCGGCCGCCUGAUCAGGGCCAUCCUCCACUACUACGAGGUCGAGCUGCACAACCUGAAUCCCAACUCGGUGAUGCAGGCCGCUGUCUUCGCCACGGUUUGUGAGGGGUUCCUGGGGGUUCCAGUCAAUUGGAACCUCUGGCUUCACCUCUUCAAGGCGGACAUGUCGGCCCGUUACGUAGGGAAGGAGAAGAUCACCCUGCGGGGCGGUGGCUGCACGCUGCAGCUUCGUCAGCAACGGUCCGGAUUGUAUAUCUGGAGCUCGAUGCCGUCGUCAAACCGGGGGUGGCAGAGCGCAUGGUUCUACCUCCGAAAUGACAGCGGUCUCCUGCCGAAGUACACCAGGAAGAUGGUGACGGAGGCCCCCCAGAAGUGGGUGUGGGGCGCUCCGUCAGAGGAGCAGAAGAAGCUCGCCCCGCUUCUUGCGGGGCUUCAGAAGCUGCGAGAGGCCCGAGUCACUGCGGCCACGGUGGCAAUAGCGUUCCAUAAGAGGAGCCUGCUUCCGCUGGCGCAGCGCCGGGUGCCCAUGUUUGAGAUGACCCGGGACGUCCCUUGGGCAGGGACGAAGAUGUUAGCCGAGCCGAUAUCGGCUUCGGACAUCACCGCCCGGGUCGAGAAGACGACGCACCCGGAGAUGAAUAAUUCCCGGGUGGUGCCCAAGCGCCCUGAAAAGGGCUACAUUUCCUUGGUAAGAAGGUGUCCUUUAUUUCGAUCUCUUGCUCCCGUUUUUUUCUUUCACCUGAUUCCCUGUUGAUCUGCUUGCUCCACAGGGGAUCGGGGCCAUCAAGGAUUCCGCGCCCCCUGUCCCGGAGGACAGAGAGAUCCGGGCCAAGAAUCGGGCCCGGAACGAGGAGCAAAAGAAGGCCAAGGAAGACAAGAAGGCCAAGGCGGCGCGAAGGGCGGAGAGGCGGGAGAUCGCCUCCAAGAACCGCCGUGAAGCCGAGAAGGCAGGGGUCGCCCCGCCUCCGUCUCCUGAGACUUCAGUCUCGGAGAUAGAGGGCGGAGGUGACAAUACCGACUGGCUCGACGAGCUGGCGGAGGAGGAUGACGUGAUCCCUCCUGCCGGCGGGGGGAUCGAGGCCCCGGAGGGGUCGGAGGCCCGAGGGGGGUCGGAGGCUCCCGCGGGGAUCCAGGCGCCGGAGGGCGGACAAGCCGUCCCCCACAGCAUCGUGGAUGAUGAGGACAGCGCCCCUGGUGAGGGUUCAGCCCCCGUGGGUCCUCAAGAGGGGGAGAAGGCGUCGGGGGUCGGAUCCGAGGCGCCACCUCAACCGGUAGUGCCAGAGGCUCUGGUCGAGCCCUUGCCAGCGUCCGGGGCGAGGACCGGCGUCUCGGUGGAGGCGUCGCCGGCCGAGACCAUUGUGGUACCCCCGGUGACGUCGGUGGGCGAGGCGGAGGUCGGCCCGACGGCCUCUGGUGCUGCGGGAGGUCCUCAAGGAGCUCCGAGCUCCCAGAAGAAGUCUGCUCCCCGAGCGAGGUAUGUAUAGGAUUUCUGAUCCCUCUGCUGAUUUUUUUGUUUUUCUCUUUCUUCUAACCUAGAGUUAUUCCCCCAGCCGUAAGCAAAAGGCGCCUUCGGUGGCGCAGGCCCCCUGAAGGCUGUGAAGAGGGGGGCUCAGUCGACUCCUGGGUCGGCUAGGCCCGUGUCGCCGCCGCCGCCGGGCUUCGAGGAGGGAGGGCGCCACCAGGGGCAGGACACGGGGGCGCCGAAGUCUCAAGGACCGGAGGAUGCUGACCUGGGAGGUGUGGCCCGGCCUGCGCGUGUUGAGGAAGGCCGAGCCAUCGUGGCGUCCAGCGCGGCGCUCGAGGCCCCCGCGGCGGGAGAGGGAGAUGCCGGAUGGGGUAAGAGCCCCGUAAUCUGGCCCAACCUCGGCGAUGCCGAGGGGGGAGCCAGAUUCGUUCUGGAUGACCCGUCAGAGAAUUACCUCUGGGAGGGUCUGGACGCGUGUGGGCGUGCCGGUGUCGAGGCCCUCAACCGAGCUUCUCAGCUCGUGGGCCGUGACAUGUUUAAUCUGGCUCAGGUAAGAUUUUUACCCGUGUUGUGAAGUAGUUUUGUCCUUACUUUGCGAUAUUAACUCCCUGUGUGACCUCUGAUCUUGUAAGCGCUCAAGGCCACCUCCCAGGAGAAGUCGGUAUUUCUCCGUCGGGAAAGGGAUGCUUGGGCGUCCUUUGAGAACGAGAGGGCCGCCAGGGAGGCGGCUGAGGGGGAGCUCGCGAAGGAGUGCGAGAUUUCUGUCGAGCUUCGGCAGAAGUGCUUGGCGCUGGCUUCCGAGGCUCGGGAGGCCUGGGACAAGGUCGCCCCCCGGGAGGAGAGGAUUGGGGUCCUUGCCCAGGAAACCGAGGUGCAGAAGGCGGCGGCUGAGGGGUACAAGGGUGAGGUUGCUCGGCUUGAAGCUUUGCUCGCCGAAAAAGACCUCGCCUUGAACCAAGCUCAGACCGACCUAGACGGGGCUCUGAGCCAGGUGGCCCGCUGGCAUCAGAGCUCGGCGGAGCACGAGAAGCGUGCCGAGGGUAGGACUUGCACCCUUUACCUUGGACCCCUUUGUACUUUUGAAUUGGUCUUUCCUGACUCCUUAUUUCUUGUUGUAUUUUUCAAUCAGAAUUAGAGAUGAAGGUGGUCGAGGCGACCUCUACUGCCGAGGCCCUGCAAAAGUCCCUCGACGCCGAGGCUUCGGACCGCUCGGCUCUUGAAGCCGUGGUCACCUCGGCGUGUGAGGGGCUCGGGGUAUCGGUGUCGGGGUCGUCGCUGCGCAGUCGGAUCGAAGCCCUUUACUCCCGGGCCGGGGAGAGGAUGAGGGAGGCGCUCCACACCGGGGUGAAGAAGGCCCUGGCGGUGGUGAGCUCUCACUACGCCGGCAUUGAUUUGCCGGCGGUCUGUGAGGGCUACGUUCUCCCCAUGUAGCCCCCGAGGGAGGCUCGGACUCUGCUUGGCAGGUCCGAGGCUCUCUGAUAACUUAAACUUUGAUUUAUUCCUUGAAGGUAAUGAAUGAACAAAGAAAUUUUUACAAAGUUCUAAGGGUAAAAGCGACGUAGCUGUUCUAUGUUCCAUGCAUUUUUGAAGACCUCCCCUGCUUCAUUGGCGAGCUUGUAGGUUCCGGGUCGGAGGACUUCGGCGAUGACGAAGGGUCCUUCCCAGGGGGGUGUGAACUUGUGACGACCCUUGUUGCUCUGUCUGAGCCUUAGCACCAAGUCGCCGACUUGAAAGGCUCGGCCUCAGAUCCGUCGCGCAUGGUAUCGGCGGAGGGCCUGUUGGUACUUGGCGGAGUGUAGGAGGACUAUAUCUCUGGCUUCAUCCAGCUGGUCCAGCGCGUCUUCUUGGAACGUCUUGCCGCUAUUUUCGUCGUAAGCUUGUACCCUCGGGGACCCGUAUUCCAGAUCAGUGGGGAGGACGGCUUCCGACCCGUAGACCAUGAAGAACGGGGUGAAGCCUGUGGCUCGGCUUCGGGAGGUUCUCAGACUCCAGACCACGGCUGGUAGCUCUUUGAGCCACCUUUUUCCAAACUUGUUCAGACGAUUGAAAAUCCUGGGCUUCAAACCCUGGAGGAUCAUGCCAUUGGCACGCUCCACUUGACCGUUGGUCUUGGGGUGAGCCACUGCCGCCCAGUCCACACGUAUGUGGUGUCUGUCGCAGAAUUGCAAGAACUUUCGCCCAGUGAACUGUGUGCCGUUGUCGGUGAUUAUGGAGUUCGGCACUCCAAAUCGAUGGAUGAUAUCUGUGAAGAACAACACCGCCUGCUCGGCCUUGAUCCUUGUAAUGGGUCGGACUUCGAUCCACUUGGAGAACUUGUCGAUUGCGACGAGCAAGUGGGUGAAGCCCUCGGGCGCUUUCUGCAGAGGCCCGACCAGGUCGAGGCCCCAGAUAGCGAAAGGCCAGGUAAUGGGAAUCGUCUGCAAGGCCUGGGCGGGCUGAUGUAUCUGCCGAGCGUAAAACUGGCAUCCCUCACAGGUCCUUACGAUCUCUGUGGCGUCGGCCACAGCGGUGGGCCAGUAGAAGCCUUGUCGGAAGGCAUUUCCUACCAGCGUCCGAGGUGCGGCGUGAUGGCCACAAGCCCCCGAGUGUAUGUCCUGCAGGAGCCUAACUCCUUCCUGACGUGGGAUGCAACGCAUGAGGAUGCCCGAGGGGCUGCGCUUGUACAUCUCCCCGUCGAGGAGGACGAAGGUCUUGGCACGACGGGCCACGUGUCUUACCCCAGCCUGGUCCGGGGGCAAAGUGCCGUCGACGAGGCGUUGAAGCAAGGGGUAGCGCCAGUCAGGCGAGUCGUCACACGCGGGUGGUUCUGGCUCGAUGUCUAUGACCCCCUGCUCUGGAGCGGCGGUGUCUUUGGGGUCGGAACUUUGUUCGCUUCGGGGUUCGUCCGACCCCCCGUCGUCCUUGUAGUCGACGGAAGGCUUGUAGAGAUCGCUGACGAAAACAUCCGGGGGGACCGUGGCCCGCUCGGAUGCCAUCUUGGCGAGCGCGUCGGCGGCCUCGUUAUACUUCCUUAACACGUGGUUAAGUUCGAGACCGUCGAACUUUUCUUCCAGGCGUCGGACCGCUUUGCAGUACGCGUCCAUCUUGGGCUCAUGGCAGCUAGACUCUUUCAUGACUUGAUCGAUGAUGAGUCUAGAAUCGCCUCGGGCGUCGAGCCGUUUGAUCCCAAGCUCGGUCGCGAUGUGGAGACCGUUAACAAGGGCCUCGUACUCUGCUGCAUUGUUUGAAGCGGGGAAAUGGAGCCGGAUUGCGUAUCGCAUCCUUACCCCGAGAGGUGAGAUGAAGACGAGGCCCGCGCCGGCCCCAGUUUUCAUCAAGGACCCGUCGAAGUACAUGGUCCAGCAUUCGUGCUGGAUUUGUGGUGGUGGGAGCUGAGUCCCAGUCCACUCUGCCACAAAGUCCGCCAGGACCUGGGACUUUAUGGCUUUCCGAGGCUCAUAGGUGAUCCCAUCGCCCAUGAGCUCUAUGGCCCAUUUAGCAACCCUUCCGUUGGCUUCUCGGUUCUGAAUCACUUCCCCCAGGGGGAAAGACGAUACCACCGAGACUGGAUGAGACUCGAAGUAAUGGCGGAGCUUGCGGCGGGUCAGAACCACAGCGUAGAGCAGUUUUUGGAUCUGGAGGUAUCGGGUCUUUGUGUCGGAUAGUACUUCACUGACGAAGUAUACCGGUCUUUGGACCGGCAGGGCGUGCCCUUCUUCCUUCCUCUCGACCACGACAGCUGCGCUGGCCACCUGAUCAGUGGCUGCGACGUAGAGAAGUAGUGGUUCCCCCUCGGCGGGAGGCACCAGGAUGGGAGGGUUGGUGAGCAGAGCCUUGAGCUUGUCAAGGGCUUCCUGGGCCUCGGGGGUCCAGGAAAAGUGCUCAGAUUUCCUAAGUAACCUAUACAGAGGCAGUCCUUUUUCCCCGAGGCGAGAAAUGAAGCGGCUUAGGGAGGCUAGACAUCCCAUUACCCUCUGUACUCCCUUUAGGUUACGAAUCGGGCCCAUAUUUGCGAUGGCCGAGACCUUUUCUGGGUUGGCCUCGAUCCCCCGCUCAGACACAAUAAACCCGAGGAGCAUGCCUCGGGGGACCCCGAAAACGCACUUUUCAGGGUUGAGUCUGACCCCUUUUGCCCUAAGGCAUUGGAAUGUUUCUUCUAGGUCGGCAACCAGGCCGCUCGCUUUCCUGGACUUGACGACAAUGUCGUCCACGUAAGCUUCUACCGUUUUGCCUAUAAGGUUCCCAAAAACCUGGAGCAUACACCGUUGAUAUGUAGCCCCCGCGUUCUUGAGCCCAAAAGGCAUGGUUACGUAGCAAUACAUUCCGAAAGGGGUGAUGAAUGAAGUCGCGAGCUGGUUGGACUCUUUCAUUUUGAUUUGGUGGUAGCCGGAAUAAGCAUCAAGAAAAGACAAAAUUUCACAUCCCGCGGUAGAGUCAACUAUCUGAUCAAUACGAGGUAAUGGAAAGGGAUUCUUUGGGCAUGCUUUAUUUAAACUAGUAUAGUCUACACACAUCCUCCACUUCCCAUUUUUCUUUUUAACUAGCACGGGGUUGGCUAACCACUCGGGAUGGAAUACCUCCUUGAUGAAUCCGGCCGCCAGCAGCUUGUGGAUCUCCUCCCCGAUGGCCCGACGUUUCUCCUCGUCGAAUCGGCGCAGGCGUUGCUUCACGGGCUUGGAGCCGGCUCGGAUGUCCAAGGAGUGCUCGGCGACUUCCCUCGGUAUUCCAGGCAUGUCUGAGGGACUCCACGCAAAUAUGUCGGCGUUUGCGCGGAGAAAGUCGACGAGCACCACUUCCUAUUUGGGGUCGAGGCUGGAGCUGAUCCUCAAUGCCUUGCCUCCAGAGGUCCCUGGGUCGAGGGAGAUUAGCUUGGUCUCUUCCGCUGGCUCGAAACUCCCGGCGUGCCGCUUGGGGUCGGGGACGUCCGGGUCACAGUCGCCGAGGCCGGUGAGGAUGGCCAGAGACUCAGCCAGAGCCUCGGCCUGCUCAAUGCACUCGACGUCGCACUGGUAGGCGUGCUGGCUGGUCGUGCUGACGGUGAUGAUGCCCUUUGGCCCCGGCAUCUUGAGCUUGAGGUAGGUAUAGUUGGGGACGGCCAUGAACUUGGCGUAGCAUGGUCAUCCUAGGAUCGCGUGGUAAGUCCCCGGGAACCCGACCACGUCGAAAGUGAGGACCUCCCGUCUAAAGUUGUCGGGGUCCCGAAGCAGACGGACAGAUCGAUCUGUCCGAGGGGGUGGGCACGAUGCCCCGGCACCACUCCGUGGAAGGGUGCGGUGUCGUUCCUCAGCCGGGACUUGCUGAUCCCCAUGAGGGCCAGAGUUUCGGCAUAGAGGAUGUUGAGGCCGCUGCCUCCAUCCAUCAGCACCUUAGUGAGACGGGUCUCGGCGAUGAUGGGGUCGACGAUCAGAGGAUAGCUACCGGGAUUGGGGAUUCGAUCCGGGUGAUCCUGUCUGUCGAACGUGAUCGCGUUCUCGGACCAUUUGAGGUACGAGGGCGCGGCCGCGCUGACUGCGCAGACUUCUCGGAGUUCGUGCUUCCUCUGACUCGUAGUGAGGCGAGCCGCUCGUCCCCCAAAGAUCAGAAGGCAGUUCUUGACCUUGGGGAAAACCUCCCCCUGGGGGUCGUUGUCCUUGGGAGGCUCUUCGGCACUCUCCUUGGUGAUGAUGUCGGUGUAGUACCGACGGAGGACGGUACACUCCUCAAGGGUGUGUUUGGUUGGCCCCCUGUGAUAGGGGCACGGCUUCUUCAACAUUUCGUCGAAGAGACCGGGGCCAGCAGGAGCCCGCUUGGGGUUCUUGCGAUCUGCCGCGGCGACCAGGUUGUCGUCCGACUGACCCUGCCGCCCCUUGCGGCCCUUCUUCUUCUUCUUGGGGUCGCGCGAUCCCGAGGCCUCGGCGGCCUCAGCCUUCUGUUUCCCCUUGGCUGUGCUGUCGGAGAAAAUGGCGCCAACUGCUUCUUCGCCUGAAGCAAAGUUGGUGGCGAUGUCGAGCAGCUGGCUAGUGCUCGUAGGGGUUUUUCGUCCGAGCUCGUGUACGAGCUCUUUGCAAGUGGUGCCAGAAAUGAAGGCUCCGAUGACGUCGGAGUCCGUGAUGUUGGGGAGCUCGGUGCACUGCUUGGAGAAUCGCCUGAUGAAAUCUCGGAGAGACUCAUCGGGCUUCUGCCGGCAACUCCUGAGGUCCCAGGAGUUCCCAGGGCGCACGUACGUGCCCUGGAAGUUCCCAACGAAGAUCCUAACCAGGUCGGCCCAGUCGUGGAUCAUGCGCUCAAGAAGGUGCUCAAGCCACGCCCUGGCCGUGUCGGCCAGAUGCAGUGGGAGGUUGCGGAUGAUGAGCAGGUCGUCAUCCGCUCCGCCUAGCUGGCAUGCCAGGCGGUAAUCCGCCAGCCAGAGCUCAGGGUUAGUUUCUCCUGAGUACUUGACGAGGUUGGCGGGCUGUCGGAAUCGCGCAGGGAACUUGGCCCUGCGUAUGGCCUCGCUGAAGACGCGGGGACCCGGAGGCUCUGGUGACGUGCUUCGGUCGUGAUCGGGGUCGUACCUCCCGCCUCGGCGCGGUCGGUAACGUCGGGACUCGGCCUCGUCCCUGUCACGUCGCCUGGCCUCGAGGGUGGCCCGUACGUCCGCGUCAGCUCCGACGCGCUCGUGCACUGAUGGGGCCCUGUUGCCCCCUUGUGGGUUAGGGGGUGGCGGACCCUGUAUCGUUGGUGCCUUGUUAGGAGGGGGUCGGUCCCCACGACGUCUCGUGCUAUGGGAUUGUGAGGCAGAACUUUCCGCGUUCUGCACCACAGCCUGCUCCAGAAGGCCACGCAGCCCCUGGCGCACUCUCCUUCCCUCAGGAGUCGAAGGCUCGGGCAUCGCCCUGAGGAGGAGCGCGGCGGCCAUCACAUUCUGGCUGGCCGUGUUGAAGACUGGGGCGUCUCCCCCUUGGUCUUCGACAAUGCGACGGUUGACGUCACGGGCGCGACGUCUGGCUUCACCCCCGUCUCCGCGGCCUGACGGCUCUCGGACCAGGGCCUCGCGGAGUUGGCGGAGGCAUGUGCGCUCUUCUUCGAGCCUGGCCUCCAGCUCAUCGAGCUGUGCGAGGUCAGGACGGUGUCCCCCAGCGGGGGCAGAUGCUACCCCACGGGCUCCGAGAUUAGUUUCGGGAGUUGGAUUGGGAGGUGGAGUUGCGUUCUCUUGCCUGGAGGGCCCUGCGUCCCCCUAGGCGUUAUGCGGCGUGCCUCCGACUUCUAAGUUGAAGCACUCUCGUGACGGGUCGUAGCUUCCGUUGUCGGAGUCGGAGUAGCCGAGACAAUAGUUGCUGGCCUCCAAGAAGCGCAUGAAGGUCUCCGGGUCGCCAUACCCGGAGAUAUCAGCGCCAGCCCACUCGUCGUCGCCUGAGGUAGGAUCCUCCGGGUAUGACGAGACGGGCGGUGUAGAGAUGAGGUCCAGCGUAGACUUCAAGUGGUGACCUGGAAGUUCCGCGUACGCACUUAACGAAGUGCUCACGGAAGAGGCGUAGGUGGCGGCGGCAUUCCUGAGCCCAAAAGGUAACUCGGGAGGUGCCGCUGCCUCUCCUUCAUCCGUAGGUGGAGGAGGACGGGACGUUGAGGCCCCUUUGUCCCCCUUGCGUGGGACGGGCGCGGGCCGUGCCUUCCCCUUCGAACGGGGUGGGACGGGUGGCCGCGAUGAUCCUCUGUUGGUCCUGGGAGCGGAGCUUGAUGCCCCGCGAGCCCUUCCUCUAGCGCCUGUCGGGUCGGAGGAACGGGCGACCUGGUGAGGAAUAUGCGGGGGGAGGGCCGGACGGGUCCUAGCCUCAGUGGUAGGGUCGGAGAUCCUAGAUCUCUGACGCCCCCUCCGUGAGACCCCCGCACGGUGUCCCGAACGGCUCCCACGCACUGACUGUGGUGGGAUCGGCUCGGGACUAAGCUCGACGUCACCACGUGGCGGGAGGAGGACCAUGUCGUAGCCGGAACCGAGGGACAUGAACUCCAAACUCCCAAACGUCAUGAUGGUGCCGCGACGGAGCGGGUGAAAUCCGUCUGCCAUCCAAGCCUUCCCAGUAGGGACCGGCGAGCGUCACGCAGAAGGCCCCUACCUGGCGCGCCAACUGUCGGCGUCUAGACUCGUGGUCUAGGCACUAACAAGUAUGAGUCUGCGUGACUGACCAAACUUGGAUGGUGAUGCAAGUGAGACACAGAGGGUUUAUACUGGUUCGGGCCAAGAAUGCCCUACGUCCAGUGCGAUCGGAGGUUCUGUAUAACCUUGCACCCAAAGGUGCUUGUAGUAGGGGGUACAAGCAGGUUGCGAGAGAGGGCUAAGUCCCAGGUCUCGGCUUGGUGGUGGACAGAGUGCGGGUUGCUGCUCUGGGAAAGAGUGUUGUGUGUGUGAACCUUCUGGCCUCUGCCUUUAGUAGUGAGCCCUGGCUCCCCUUUUAUAGCCUCAAGGGGAGGACAGGUAUUUACAUGAGUAGAUUUCUUCUGUUGAAGGGUGAAACCACAGUCCUGACCCUGUUGAAGCUGGUCCAUCUCGUCCUUGGGGGAUGGUUGACAGUAUGGCUGCUCCUGUAGAGGGUUACCGAGCCCUGUAGGGGUCGCGGGGGUCGGAUCGCCGGCACUGCUGCACAUGCUGUCAAUAGUGGGAAAUGACCUCAAAUAGUGGUGCUGAUUAACCUCCCCCAUUCCCUUUCUACUGUGAGGCGGUAUGCCACAGUGAAAGAGGUAAGGGUGCAUAGUGACAGAGGUAAGGCCACAGUGACCAGGGUGGUUGGAACAGUCGUCGCCUUGCCCUGCCGCGGUAUGGGAGUUAUCGCGUCUGUCAUGUCGUGGGUACGGGCGCCGUGCGGUGGAAGUCUUGCCGCCCAGGCGGAGUGGGGUCCGGCGCCCGAGCCUGGACGGGGUCGGGCGAGUCGGAACUUGCGUCCGAGACCCUGGGGGGUCGGGCGAGUCGGAACUCGCGUCCGAGACCUUGGGGGGUCGGGCGAGUCGGAGCUCGCGUCCGAGGCCCUGAGGGGUCGGGCGAGUCGGAACUCGCGGCCGAGGCCUUGAGGGGUCGGGCGAGUCGGAACUCGCGGCCGAGGCCUUGAGGGGUCGGGCGAGUUGAAUGAACUGGGGCCCGUACCCUGAUGAUUCUGGUUAGUAUGUUUUUUUUGCGUUUUUUAUUGCUCUGAUUUGGGUAUCCCUUAUUAUGGUACCCAACAUAUGCUUUGCAAUGCUUAUGAUGACAUGAUCCAGUUUUAGUGUUCGUAACAUCAGGGAUGUUACAAAAAAUGCAUGAGUCCUCACUUUAUUUUCUAAUAAGACGCUAUCAUCAACAUAAUUAGUGGUGAUUGGCUGAUAAAUGAAAGUAUUUAAUGCCAGAUGGGUUUCUGUUCUAGAAUGUAUUAUAUUUGAGGACAAAUCUUAAAGGCUAGAAUGCUCUAUAUUACAGGACGGAGGGAGUGUGUUAUGAAUGAGAUUAUAAUAGAUUGUGGAUUAUAAUAAUCUAAAUUGUUCGAAUCCCUAAAUUAUAAUGGGUGGAUUAGUUAUUAGUACAAAUAACCAUAUAGUGUCAUUGCAAACGUUGAGGGGUAAUUUGAUCCUUUUACCACCCAUCAUUUCCAAUUAGCAAGUCUCAAGUGGAUUACAUGAUUAUUACAAUCCGGUUCUUGAAUUAUAAAAGUCAACUACAUACUAAAAAAUCUCUUAUAUUUGGAUCACUAUUAGUUUAUUUUAGCUGAUUAUGGUAAUCUAACUGUGAUCCAAAUAAGGCCUAAAAGUGUUCUUUUAGACAGAAGGAGGUCAUGGUACCGUUGUACUAUUAUUUAAUUUUUUUGUGAUUACUACCACUAAUUAACUGUACAUGGUUCUCAGUAAUACUAGUAGUACUUAGGGCACCUCUGAUCAUAACUAUCAGAUUCCCACUGUUGGAGAUGAUUAUGUGAACACCCUAUAAUACUAGGGAACAGGAAACAAUAGGAAGAACUUACAAUAUGAAAGGUUUAUGAUACACUAUUAUUAGAGGAAAAAAUGUAGAUUUUUUAGUGAGAAGGGGAUAAAUAUGUUUUAGAACUAUCAAUAAACUUCUUGCUACAUUUCUCCAUAACGUGCAUGUAAUCUACACCUUAUUUAGUUAUACCCAAAAUCCAAAAACUUUUCAAGAUUCUCUAUCACAUCGAAUCUUGCGACACAUGCACGGAGUAUUAAAUAUAGAUAAAAAAUAAUUAAUUGCACAGUUAAUCUGUAAUUUGUAAGAUGAAUUUUUUGAGCCUUGUUAGUUUAUAUUUGGAUAAUAUUUGUCAAAUAUAAACACAGUAAACAAACAUUUUACCGAGAGAACUAAACAAGGCCCUAGUAUUUAACUAUAUACGCAACAUGCUAUGUUCUAUGUGCAUCUUUUCUUUUGCGGACGUACAAGUAACUAUAUAUAAUUGAUGUUCGCAAAAUGAAAAGAAAGUACUCCAAUUGAUGAUACCGUCAUAAAAAAAACUGUCACAGAGUCGCCAUCAACUUAUGCCCUGUUUAGUUUUUUUAAAAAAAAAUUUCAUCCAUCCCAUCGAAUCUUUGGACACAUGCAUAGAACAUUAAAUAUAGAUAAAAAAAUAAACUAAUUACACAGUUUGGUUGAAAAUCGCGAGACGAAUCUUUUAAGCCUAGUUAGUCCAUGAUUAGCCUUAAGUGCUACAGUAACCCACAUAUGCUAAUGAGAGAUUAAUUAUGCUUAAUAGAUUUGUCUUGCAGUUUCCUGACGAACUAUGUAAUUUGUUUUUUUAUUAGUUUCUAAAAACACCUUCCGACGUCCUUCCGACAUAUUCGAUGUGACACCUAAAAUUUUUUCAUCAACGAUCUAAACGGGCCCUUAGAUCGAAUGAAACUAGGACUCCAUUCAUAGAUGACUAUCCUGCACCUGUCCCAGCGCGCGCAUUGAAUUCGUGAUUCGAUUGGCAGCACGCCAUACAAUUCAGAAAGUACAGUAACACACACUUUUUUUCCCCAUUUGACCUUGAGAGAAACAGUUUACUAUCUUUCGCACAGGCCACUACACUCCCCCCGUUUGAAAUCGUGUAAAAGCCACGUGCCAUCCUCAUCGAUCCCAACGAAGCAUUUCCCUUUUACUUUGGCAGAGAGCACUCUCGACUUCUUCUUUUUACAAUAUGGGGCUAUUUUCGUCCUUUUUGCGCCCUUUUGCGAUGUGUACGGACCCAUCGUAGCAUGGACCCAUCGGCGAUGGCGCCCUGUCCUGCCUCUCCAAUUGCUCCCUUUCCACCCCUUGCCUCUCCAACCUCCACCAAGGAAUUCUUUGCCCAAUGCGCUCAUCGUCCCCGUCACCACCUCUCCCCACGCACCAUCGCCGAUCCUAUUGCCCACAUACCUCGCGUCAUCUCCGCUCCGCCUCCUUCUCGCCGGCUUCCUGUGUGUCAUCCUGUCGCUGUCACCGUCUCGUUGUUUGCUACCACCACUGCCGCACCGGCUGGCUGGCUGCGCUGAAACAGCAGCCGCGCUACGCUGACCGGCGAGGGCGGCCGGCAAGACUGGCCGUUCGUCCGGUCCUCCCCCUCCGGCCUCCGCGCAACGGCGCAAGGGACGCGACGGGGCCGGCCUCGGCCUCGGCCUCGGCCUCGUGCUUUUUGUGCGUGGUUGGAGUGGUUGAGCCGAUGGCGACGAGCGAUCCCGGGCGGCGGGCGUGGCGCCAUGACGGCAACCAUUUUAAUACGCGCGCCCAGCAGCUGAAACCUGACAAGCUAACCAGAUUUUAGGUGGUUACCCGUGUCGCCUCCCACCCCUCCCUCGCCCUUCGCCGCGACGCCUCCUUUUCCGCCCAGCGCCCAGGUCCGGUCCGGUCCGGCCCGGCCCCAGGAUAUAGUUCCCGCUCUCGUCGCUUGCGCUUGUUUCUUCCUCCUCGUCUCAGGCCUCCCCCGCCGCGCGCCCGCGCCUUUCGGUUCGGGUUCAGCGAAUUCAGCCACAAAGCGAGUGGGUGGCCGGAGAGGCCCUGUACGUUACCCGGCCGGCAGCGAGUUCCUGGUAACGGAACUCGCUCGCGCGCUCGCUUUCCAGUUUCCUGUCCAGGCGACGACCGCCGCCCCGGCAGUUUUCUAUUCCAGCGUCGCGGUUCCGGGUCAGACAUUGGUUGCAGGCUCCAAGCCAGUUGCCCGGCGCCGGAUCGUCUUGUGACAGCAGCAAGUCCACGGCGGCGGUUAGUGGUUGAGCAAACCAGUGGCCUGCCUUGGCUACUUACCAGCUUGCUUCGCCAUGGACAACUUCGGUUCCUGCUGAUCUCUGGAGUGGAGCUGCGAGCCGGCUCUCGGCCAUCAUGGCGGCGGACCACGGGGAGGGCGUCGGCCGGUGCAUACUGGUGGGGCUGCACAUGGACGCCGUCGGCAGGGACCUGCUCCGGUGGGCGCUCCACGAGGAGGCCAGGCGGGGCGACCGCAUCGUCGCCGUGCACAUUUACCGCAAGUCCGGUUGGUAUCCGCCAUGAACAAACUUGGCAGCUCGUUUAUUUCAGUUCCAAUCCCGGUGAAGUGGUUGGGAAUUACUAGCGGUUUUUUCUUCUCUUGAAUGACAUUUUCUUGUUUCUCGUCGCAGACAAGACGAACACACUGAAGCUGAUCAGGACGCUGGACGACUACCUGGCGGACUACGAGGCCCUCUGCAACCAGAAACAGGUGAGCAAGGAUGGGCAGGAAUGAGAGCAGUGGGCCGGUGGCGAGGCUGCUACGGGAGUUGUGUGCCAUGUUGCUGCCGAUUCAAUUCACAUGCCGCCAUUGAAUGGUCUGUGUCAGGUCGUUCUUGUCGGUCGGGUGACGCCGGGGAGCUCGAUCCAGAAGGAGCUGGUGAAGGAGGCCAAGCUCUGCGCCGCCAUGGUCGUGGUGCUUGGCGCCAAUAAGAAGUACUCCUUCGGGUAAGCACGCUGCUGGCAGCAACCUUUGUAUGAUCUAACUGUUUGUUUCGUCACCAUUCCUUAGCAGCUCCCCUUUUUUUUUUUCAUUUUGGUUGUGGUUGCGCAGAGGGUCGUCCUGCCUGGCCAAGUACUGCGCCAAGAAGUUGCCGCCGACAACCACCGUCGUCGCCAUCCAGGACGGCAAGGCCGUCUUCGUCCGGGAGGCGCCCAAGCCACCACUUGGUAAUCAAGUGCCCCUUAAUUAAGUGUGGUUAUUAGUUAUGGAGGCUUUGGUUAGCGAGUCGCUAAUCGUUUGGUGGCGAGCUGGUGUGCAGGAGCAGAGCCGAAGCCGGUGCUCCGCACGGUGCUGCACCCGAGCGUGGGACUGGAGCCCAAGGUGAUCAUCCCGAACCCGAACCGGAGCGCGCGGUCCAUGGACUUGGACGCCCGGAGCUGCGGCCACGGCGCCGCGGCCGCGCCGGCAACCAAGUCCUUCGACGACGCCACCAAAGGCGACGGCAGCGUGACGCUCGAGCAGAGGCUCGGGUGGCCGCUGCUCCGCCGCGCGCACGCCGCCGCCGCCGCAGCUGCCCCUGUACACACGCCCAGCGCCAAGAAUCAUGAGCCGCGGAAGCAGUCGGUGGUGCACUGGGUGAUGAGCCUGCCCCGGCGGUCCGCGCCGUCGGAGUCCGCCGAGCCGCAUGCCGGGGCGGGACUCGAGUCGGAGCUCAAGGCAAUGCUUGGUGGCAGUGGCGCCCAGUGCCGGUGGUUCCGCUACGAGGAGCUCUACGACUCCACCAACCACUUCGCCGCAGGUUCUUUCACAUCUCGCGCCUUUCAGGUUUCAGCUCACACGAUUCAUCGUCGUCACCAAGACACCAACCCAGUUCUUGGCUUGUCGCAGACAACCUGAUUGGGAACGGAGGGAACAGCAGGGUGUACAGGGGCAGCCUCGCCUGCGGGCAGCACGUGGCGAUCAAGCUGUCCAAGGCGUCGGCGCAGGCGUCCAAGGACUUCCUCCGGGAGGUGGACAUCAUCACCAAGCUGCAGCACCACCGGAUCGUCCCCUUGAUCGGCGUCUGCGUGGAAGGCCGCAACCUCAUCUCCGUCUACAGCUACCUCCCCAGGGGCAGCCUCGAGGACAACCUACACGGUACCACCAGCACAUGUCCGACAGUUACAUCUUCAGUUGUGUUCAUGUGAAGUCACCCCGAAACCCAAUUCGCCUCAGUACGGUGGAUUUGCUUCUAAGGAACCGGGAAUUCUGCAGACAACGAUUCGUACAAGAGACUAGUUUUUUCUCAGGAAACGGAAACGGGUCGCGUUCAGAACAGUUGAGAGGUGUGGGAGCAGUUGAGUUCUUCACUCUGACGUCUGAUUGCUGCUGUGGUCUGCAGGAGAAAGGUCAAAGCCGGCGCUGUCAUGGGAGAACCGGUACAAGGCGGCGUUGGGGAUCGCGGAGGCCCUGAGCUACCUGCACUCCGGCAGCUCGCGGCCGGUGAUCCACCGGGACGUCAAGUCGUCCAACAUCCUCCUCGCGGAAGAGUUCGAGCCUCAGGUAGUUACGAACACUGACAUGGAUCCUAGUCGUAGCGAAGCUUUUCGUUUGGACUUGAACUCUGAACUCCCUGUUGCGGCAGCUAUCCGAUUUUGGGCUGGCCAUCUGGGCGCCGACGAACCCGACCUCCCUGACGCACAGCGACGUCGUUGGCACAUUCGGGUACCGUCUCUUCCUCCAAGCCUGUUCCUCGGCGGCGUUGUAUUGUACCCGGUGUUCUGUGGUUCGUCCACACAAAUUGAUGUUUUCUUUUUAUUACUGUGCGAUGCAGGUACCUGGCGCCGGAGUACUUCAUGUACGGGAAGGUGACCGACAGGGUGGACGUGUACGCGUUCGGCGUCGUCCUGCUGGAGCUCCUGUCCGGCCGGAAGCCCAUCAGCAGCGACGGGUCGUCACCCAAGGGCCAAGAGAGUCUCGUCAUGUGGGUAAGAGCGCAAUCCUAUGCUACCGAUCAACCAUCUCAUGUCUAGUUAAGUGGUAAUUCAGCACGCAGAGGACAGAGUAACAAAUUGUCUUUGGCGUGACAGGCAACUCCGGUGCUUAGCAGCGGCGACAUCUCUGACCUACUGGACCCGAGGCUGGACGUGAAGCACGACGAGGUGGAGGUGAGGCGGAUGGCCUCUGCGGCGUCGCUCUGCCUCCGGAGGUCGGCUCGACUCAGGCCGCCGAUAUCGCAGGUCAGCCAGCCUCCAACCAGCUUUAGCUCGUGCAAUUUGCAUUUCACUGACCAGUCUUUUUUUUUUGUGCCGUGCAGAUACUGAGCAUACUACGAGGAGAAAGCACGGCGAGCAUCGCCGACCAGGACGCAACGGAGCCGGACUGCCUAGACGACGAGGCUUACCCGGCGGCGAACGUGAGGUCACACCUGGACCUCGCGCUUCUUGACGUGGAAGACUCCGAGUCAAUCUCUAGCACGGAGCACAGCAGCGGCCUCAGCCCGUUGGAAGAGUACCUGCGAGAACGUUGGAGCCGAUCGUCCAGCUUCGACUGAUUCAAGCCUGCGAUUUUGUGGUCAUGUAUUUUCCAAUUUUUUUACCUUCACCUCUUCACCCACCCCGGUACUACACAUGUUUGUUGUAUGGUUUGAUUACCGGGACCGUGUGUACAGUUUACAAUCAAAAAUCACCAGAGCCACAUUUUCGGCGACAAAUGGCUUCCUGACAAGAUUUCGACAAGUCAACGGGUACUAUCAGUAAAUCUUAAGAGACCAGUUGUCAGUUGCUGCAAUUAAUCCAUUCAUAUAUACAAAUAAAAGAGAUUAAGGAUAGAACAAAUACUGCGUGUCAUACAACAGUAACAGUUAAGCUUUUGCAGUUCAACUGCUUACAUAAACGUGCGAAAUAAUUAACGAACAUUACAAGUUUUGCCAGAACUCUAUUGGCCUCAAACAAACACGAUUGGAACAAAGCUGGAAAACUGCGGCAGGGAACCAUUAUCUCCCACAUCCACACAGCUCUCUCCCAACAUCUCAUCUAAUUCUCAUCUACCUCGACAGAUGUUUAAAAUGGUACGACAUAUGGCAGCUGGUACAUAUGAAGGUCCGGCAGAAAAGUGGCCCUGGGUUGCAAAGAAGGCUGCUGCUGCACCAUUGGAUGGAUCGGCCCUACACCACCAGUUGAUUUGCAUUGAGCCAUGCUAGCAUCAGAGUUCCUUGUACUGCUCAACAGCCAAUCUUGAUCACCAAGAUCUGAACCUUCAUUCUCUAGCGAUAUCGGAUUCCAGGUAACAAACAGAUCUCUGAACUUCUUUUCUUUCUUCUCAGCUUUGCGGAUUUUCUUCCGAUCUGACCGGGAGAGCUUAGUAUCCUGCACUUGAACUGUUUCUGCACUUCUACCAGAGAAGCAAGGCUCUUCUUUUGGCAAAGAGGUGAUGAGAUCCUGCUGCUUGAGAACAGUCAAGUCCUUGGGUUUUUGCAGAACAGGAGGCUGCGGGGCGUCUGGUAGGCAAACAGCAGAUCUCGUUUCUUUCUGUAACACCUUCGCUAACUGAGGAUCAACUUUCUGUGACACCAUGGAAGCUGGACGCUGAACUCCCUGUGACACCAUCUUAACAGGUGGAGGAUCAAAUCUUCCCAUCACUCCAGCAGGUGAAGACGCCACACUUCCCGAAAACUUUGGAGGUAGGUCAGAUCUUCCAACUGGCGCCUUAACAGACAACGGGGGAUGAACCGGAUGUGUGACCUUCGCUGCAGGCUGGGGAACAACUCUCUGCAUGGUCUUUGCCAGACUUUCUGUAAUAAUACAUUUUUGUACUGCUUGGGAGUCACCAGUUACCCUCUGCUGAGCAGAUGUAGAUCUCACAUUCACCUUAUGAUG